AGUGAACGCUGGCGGUAGGCCUAACACAUGCAAGUCGAACGGCAACACAGUAAGAGCUUGCUCUUACGGGUGGCGAGUGGCGGACGGGUGAGGCAUACAUCGGAAUCUACUUUUUCGUGGGGGAUAACGUAGGGAAACUUACGCUAAUACCGCAUACGACCUACGGGUGAAAGCAGGGGAUCUUCGGACCUUGCGCGAUUGAAUGAGCCGAUGUCGGAUUAGCUAGUUGGCGGGGUAAAGGCCCACCAAGGCGACGAUCCGUAGCUGGUCUGAGAGGAUGAUCAGCCACACUGGAACUGAGACACGGUCCAGACUCCUACGGGAGGCAGCAGUGGGGAAUAUUGGACAAUGGGCGCAAGCCUGAUCCAGCCAUACCGCGUGGGUGAAGAAGGCCUUCGGGUUGUAAAGCCCUUUUGUUGGGAAAGAAAAGCAGCAGGUUAAUACCCCGCUGUUCUGACGGUACCCAAAGAAUAAGCACCGGCUAACUUCGUG
This 492-nucleotide ribosomal RNA is filed under the name uncultured bacterium. RNAcentral's name for it is "partial 16S ribosomal RNA". It matches the Rfam family "Bacterial small subunit ribosomal RNA", at positions 29 to 507 of the family's 1533-position model. The record is from RNAcentral.